Molecule: ribosomal RNA, 253 nt
Filed under: uncultured bacterium
Lineage: Bacteria
Description: partial 16S ribosomal RNA
Rfam family: Bacterial small subunit ribosomal RNA
Source: RNAcentral
GACGAGGGGUCCUAGCGUUGUUCGGAAUCAUUGGGCGUAAAGCGGGUGUAGGUGGCUUGGUAAGUCAGAUGUGAAAGCCCCGGGCUUAACCCGGGAAGGGCAUUUGAUACUGCUUUGCUUGAGUGUGAUAGAGGAUGGCGGAAUUCCUGGUGUAGUGGUGAAAUACGUAGAUAUCAGGAGGAACAUCGGUGGGGAAGCCGGCUAUCUGGAUCAACACUGACACUCAGACCCGAAAGCGUGGGGAUCAAACAGG